UACGUAGGGGGCAAGCGUUAUCCGGAAUUACUGGGUGUAAAGGGAGCGUAAACGGUAAUGUAAGUCUGGAGUGAAAGGCGGGGGCCCAACCCCCGGACUGCUCUGGAAACUAUGUUACUAGAGUGCAGGAGAGGUAAGCGGAAUUCCUAGUGUAGCGGUGAAAUGCGUAGAUAUUAGGAGGAACACCAGUGGCGAAGGCGGCUUACUGGACUGUAACUGACGUUGAGGCUCGAAAGCGUGGGGAGCAAACAGG
This 253-nucleotide ribosomal RNA is filed under the name uncultured bacterium. Its description in RNAcentral is "partial 16S ribosomal RNA". It matches the Rfam family "Bacterial small subunit ribosomal RNA", at positions 524 to 776 of the family's 1533-position model. The record is from RNAcentral.